AGAGUUUGAUUCUGGCUCAGGAUGAACGCUGGCGGUAUGCUUAACACAUGCAAGUCGAACGAACCCUUCGGGGUGAGUGGCGGACGGGUGAGUAACGCGUGAGGAACUACCUUUAGUUCGGGGACAACAGUUGGAAACGGCUGCUAAUACCGGAUGAGCCGAGAGGUAAAAGAUUUAUUGACUAAAGAAGUACUCGCGUCUGAUUAGCUAGUUGGUGAGGUAAGAGCUUACCAAGGCAACGAUCAGUAGCUGUUCUGAGAGGAAGAUCAGCCACACUGGGACUGAGACACGGCCCAGACUCCUACGGGAGGCAGCAGUGGGGAAUUUUCCGCAAUGGGCGAAAGCCUGACGGAGCAAUACCGCGUGUGGGAGGAAGGCCCUUGGGUCGUAAACCACUUUUCUUAGGGAAGAAGUUCUGACGGUACCUAAGGAAUAAGCCUCGGCUAACUCCGUGCCAGCAGCCGCGGUAAUACGGAGGAGGCAAGCGUUAUCCGGAAUUAUUGGGCGUAAAGAGUCCGUAGGUGGUUUUUCAAGUCUGCUGUCAAAGACAGAAGCUCAACUUCUGAGAGGCAGUGGAAACUGAGAGACUAGAGAAUGGUAGGGGUAGAGGGAAUUCCCAGUGUAGCGGUGAAAUGCGUAGAGAUUGGGAAGAACACCGGUGGCGAAAGCGCUCUACUGGGCCAUAACUGACACUGAGGGACGAAAGCUAGGGUAGCGAAAGGGAUUAGAUACCCCUGUAGUCCUAGCCGUAAACGAUGGGUACUAGGCGUAGCUUGUAUCGACCCGAGCUGUGCCGAAGCAAACGCGUUAAGUACCCCGCCUGGGGAGUACGCACGCAAGUGUGAAACUCAAAGGAAUUGACGGGGGCCCGCACAAGCGGUGGAGUAUGUGGUUUAAUUCGAUGCAACGCGAAGAACCUUACCAAGGCUUGACAUCCCGCGAAUCUUUCAGAGAUGAGAGAGUGCCUUAGGGAACGCGGAGACAGGUGGUGCAUGGCUGUCGUCAGCUCGUGUCGUGAGAUGUUGGGUUAAGUCCCGCAACGAGCGCAACCCUCGUCCUUAGUUGCCAUCAUUAAGUUGGCACUUUAGGGAGACUGCCGGUGACAAACCGGAGGAAGGUGGGGAUGACGUCAAGUCAGCAUGCCCCUUACGCCUUGGGCUACACACGUACUACAAUGGACGGGACAAAGGGCAGCAAACUCGCGAGGGUAAGCGAAUCUCAUCAAACCCGUUCACAGUUCAGAUUGCAGGCUGCAACUCGCCUGCAUGAAGGAGGAAUCGCUAGUAAUCGCCGGUCAGCAUACGGCGGUGAAUACGUUCCCGGGCCUUGCACACACCGCCCGU
This 1343-nucleotide ribosomal RNA is filed under the name uncultured bacterium. Its description in RNAcentral is "bacterial SSU rRNA". It matches the Rfam family "Bacterial small subunit ribosomal RNA". The record is from RNAcentral.